GGAAGGCUGUCACAUCGGGGAAACGCCUGGGUCUACAACCUGUUGAUGUGAGCCCUGCUGGGCCAGACAAGG
Molecule: long non-coding RNA, 72 nt
Filed under: Numida meleagris (helmeted guineafowl)
Lineage: Eukaryota; Metazoa; Chordata; Aves; Galliformes; Numididae
Description: lncRNA (ENSNMEG00000007634.1)
Source: RNAcentral